CUUUUCUUGUGGAGGUCUCGAAAGCGAGUAGCCUCCGCAGUGGCCUCUGAAUGGCUCUCCCUUAGCCGGUGAAGUUCGUCUUCCAGUUUCUUGGAUUUUCUCGUCAACUGACGAACUUCCCUUUGGAGGCCUCGAAUCAUCGACUUCAGAGGAAUCUCCUCCGGCAGGGGAAGAGCUUCGGCAGGGUACUGUCGUUGGAAGACAAGAGCGCCAUGACUCAAAUUAAUGCAAGAAGACAAAAAAGAAGGAAAAGAAUACAAAAAAAAGAAAAAAGAAGAAGAAGA
This 284-nucleotide long non-coding RNA is filed under the name Elaeis guineensis (African oil palm). RNAcentral describes it as "long non-coding RNA (EGUI_LNC077914)". The record is from RNAcentral. Lineage: Eukaryota; Viridiplantae; Streptophyta; Magnoliopsida; Arecales; Arecaceae.